Long non-coding RNA from Oncorhynchus tshawytscha (Chinook salmon), 469 nucleotides. RefSeq lists it as uncharacterized. The record is from RefSeq and is a predicted model, not a curated record. NCBI's taxonomy places the organism in Eukaryota, Metazoa, Chordata, Actinopteri, Salmoniformes, Salmonidae. The transcript is spliced from 3 exons.
CCCUGAUUAAGAGGUGAUGACUACUCCACUCAACUUCCACUGUCAACUUACUCAUGACAUGAACUGAAGCCACAUCUCAUGUGCCUACUCAUCCACUGGCACAUUGAAUGUUUUCCCUCCACUCACUUCAACUCCUGUCCUGCACUGGUCAAGCCUCUGAACACCUCAACUCAUGCCUCAUACCCUCAUUCAAGCCCUGCUGUGAUCCCUUUCCAACUGUACACACAAAGUGAAGAGUUCACCCGAACGUCCCAAGGCCCCACUUAUGGAGUGGUGGAGUAUGGGUAAUGGCUUUGUUUUUCCAUACCACCUCUGAGGACACCCGUCAUCCAUCCUGCUACCCUCUCUCCUGAACGGUAGGUGCACUCCUAGAACUGCCUCUCACCAAAUUGGAUUAAUUAAAAGCAUUGCUUUGAAGUGACAGGGCCUCUAACGCUGAAGUGCCAGGCUCUUAUUCACAGGAGACACG